CCUACGGGGGGCUGCAGUGGGGAAUAUUGCGCAAUGGGCGAAAGCCUGAUGCAGCGACGCCGCGUGAGGGAUGAAGGUCUUCGGAUCGUAAACCUCUGUCAGCAGGGAAGAACGGUCACUGUGCUAAUCAGCAGGGAAUUGACGGUACCUGCAAAGGAAGCACCGGCUAACUCCGUGCCAGCAGCCGCGGUAAUACGGAGGGUGCGAGCGUUCAUCGGAAUUACUGGGCGUAAAGCGCUCGUAGGCGGUAUGUCAAGUCAAGGGUGAAAUCCCCGCGCUCAACGUGGGAACUGCCUUUGAUACUGGCAAACUAGAGUGUGGGAGAGGAUAGUAGAAUUCCAGGUGUAGGAGUGAAAUGCGUAGAUAUGUGGAGGAACACCAGUGGCGAAGGCGGCUCUCUGGCACAUGACUGACGCUGAGGAGCGAAAGCGUGGGUAGCAAACAGGAUUAGAUACCCUAGUAGUC
Molecule: ribosomal RNA, 465 nt
Filed under: uncultured bacterium
Lineage: Bacteria
Description: partial 16S ribosomal RNA
Rfam family: Bacterial small subunit ribosomal RNA
Source: RNAcentral